RNAcentral lists this unclassified non-coding RNA (259 nucleotides) under fungal sp. RNAcentral's name for it is "partial internal transcribed spacer region". The stretch from base 1 to 46 matches the Rfam family "Eukaryotic small subunit ribosomal RNA", at positions 1786 to 1831 of the family's 1831-position model. Lineage: Eukaryota; Fungi. The record is from RNAcentral.
AAGUCGUAACAAGGUUUCCGUAGGUGAACCUGCGGAAGGAUCAUUAUCACGUAUCCACGUAUAAACCAUUGUGAACUGUAACUCUUUUUUUAAAAAGAAAGUAGGAUUUUGCGUUAAUUCGCAUCAUUCUCUUUUUUUUUAAUAAUUAACUAUUUAAACCUUUAAUUAACAAUUGAACUGAUUUUAUUUCUUACUCUUCGGAGAAGAAAUUUUAUUACGAAACAAAGAACAACUCUUAGCAACGGAUAUCUUGGUUCUC